Molecule: unclassified non-coding RNA, 245 nt
Filed under: Hevea brasiliensis (rubber tree)
Lineage: Eukaryota; Viridiplantae; Streptophyta; Magnoliopsida; Malpighiales; Euphorbiaceae
Source: RNAcentral
CGGGGAUGUUAAGAGGAAGGACAAGCUUGAACCUUAUGCAUAUUGGCCUCUUGACCGGAAGAUGAUGAGCCGUCGACCGGAGCAUCGAGCUGCUGCUCGGAAAGGAAUGGUUAGUGUGGUAAAUAUGACGAAGAAACUUGAAGGCAAAAGUGCCUCUAGUAUUCUGUCAAGUAAAGGCUCCAAGUUUAAGAAGGGUCACAACAAAGGUAGCAAGAAGAAGGCCAAGUAGAAAGAAGAUCAGAUUG